UACGGAAGGCAGCAGUGGGGAAUAUUGCACAAUGGGCGAAAGCCUGAUGCAGCUAUGCCGCGUGUAUGAAGAAGGCCUUAGGGUUGUAAAGUACUUUCAUCGGGGAGGAAAAAACAAAACUAAUAAUUUUAUUUCUUGACGUUACCCGAAAAAGAAGCACCGGCUAACUCCGUGCCAGCAGCCGCGGUAAUACGGAGGGUGCUAGCGUUAAUCAGAAUUACUGGGCGUAAAGAGCACGUAGGUGGUUUUUUUAAGUCAGAUGUGAAAUCCCUGGGCUUAACCUAGGAACUGCAUUUGAAACUGAAAUACUAGAGUAUCGUAGAGGGAGGUAGAAUUCUAGGUGUAGCGGUGAAAUGCGUAGAUAUCUGGAGGAAUACCUGUGGCGAAAGCGGCCUCCUAAACGAAUACUGACACUGAGGUGCGAAAGCGUGGGGAGCAAACAGGGAUUAGAACC
RNAcentral lists this ribosomal RNA (454 nucleotides) under uncultured bacterium. RNAcentral describes it as "bacterial SSU rRNA". It matches the Rfam family "Bacterial small subunit ribosomal RNA", at positions 340 to 785 of the family's 1533-position model. The record is from RNAcentral.